RNAcentral lists this ribosomal RNA (517 nucleotides) under uncultured microorganism. RNAcentral describes it as "bacterial SSU rRNA". It matches the Rfam family "Bacterial small subunit ribosomal RNA", at positions 9 to 521 of the family's 1533-position model. The record is from RNAcentral.
GAGUUUGAUCAUGGCUCAGAUUGAACGCUGGCGGCAGGCCUAACACAUGCAAGUCGAGCGGAUGAAGGGAGCUUGCUCCUGGAUUCAGCGGCGGACGGGUGAGUAAUGCCUAGGAAUCUGCCUGGUAGUGGGGGAUAACGUCCGGAAACGGGCGCUAAUACCGCAUACGUCCUGAGGGAGAAAGUGGGGGAUCUUCGGACCUCACGCUAUCAGAUGAGCCUAGGUCGGAUUAGCUAGUUGGUGGGUAAAGGCCUACCAAGGCGACGAUCCGUAACUGGUCUGAGAGGAUGAUCAGUCACACUGGAACUGAGGACACGGUCCAGACUCCUACGGGAGGCAGCAGUGGGGAAUAUUGGACAAUGGGCGAAAGCCUGAUCCAGCCAUGCCGCGUGUGUGAAGAAGGUCUUCGGAUUGUAAAGCACUUUAAGUUGGGAGGAAGGGCAGUAAGUUAAUACCUUGCUGUUUUGACGUUACCAACAGAAUAAGCACCGGCUAACUUCGUGCCAGCCGCCGCCGU